CACGAUCGUUGCUCAACAGGUAUUUUUCUACCAUCUGCAAUAACCUGAUUUACCUAGCAGAGAUAAGAAAUAUAUAUGAAGUUCAAGCCUUUUUUCUUCCUAUCAUAAAAAUAAUACUUUUAACUUGAAUAAAUAAAAAUAAUAUUUUAAAUCCUCAAGUAUAUAUUUGGAUUUUAUUAAAGAAUCUUCUUUUUCUUGUUUUAUUAUUUUUCAUAUUUCCAAAAAUAACCUAAAGAAAAUAUAUCAUUCCAAAUAUAGGAAAACCGAAAAAGGCAAAACAAGAAAUAUUAAGGGUAAAAUAAUCAAUAAAAAGUUCAAAGGAUUACCGAGCGAGUAUAUAUAUAUAUAUAAGGUAAAAUAUCUAUAGUUUAAUGUAAAAUAAAAACCAGAUUUUAUGUCGGUUCAAAGGAGAAAUCCUUCUCUCGGGAGAACAUUAAACUCUUUCCAUGCCUAUAUUAAUUAUAUAUAUAUAUAUAUACACGUUCAGGUUUAACGUUUUACCAUUUAAGAUUCAUUUUAUACCUUCUUGUACAGUAGCAUAGUGCAGACUGAUAUCAUCAUAAUGAUGAUAAAAAGAAAAAAAAUAUAUUAUUAUUUCUAAUAAAUAUUUUAUAUAUAAAUUAUUAAUAUAGUAAAUCCAUUUCACAAUAAAAUAUAUUAAUACAAAAUAGAAAUGUUUCCUAUGCUUGAACUUCCUUGUCUUUUCCACACUAAUAGGUACUGGAAGAGGUGAACCUAGUAGGGGGUGUGAAAUUGUCUUCAAAUCAGAUAAAUGUUUCCCAUGCUUAACGUUUCUUUUCCUUUGUAAACUAAUAGGUACAAGAAGAGGUGAACCUAGUAGUGGGUGUGAAGAAACAAUGUGACAAGCUGAAAAGCAAUCUCCUUGAUAUCCAAUCUGUCCUUGAAGAUGCAGAUAGAAAACAAGUUAAGGAUAAGGCUGUAAGAAAUUGGGUAGACAAGCUCAAAGAUGCAUGUUAUGAUAUGGAUGACGUGCUAGAUGAAUGGAGCACUGCAAUUCUUAGAUGGAAAAUGGAGGAAGCUGAAGAAAAUACUCACAGCCGACAGAAGAUACAGUGUUCCUUCCUGGGAUCUCCUUGCUUUUGUUUCAAUCAAGUGGUCCGACGUCGCGACAUUGCCCUGAAGAUCAAAGAAGUUAGUGAAAAAGUGGAUGACAUUGCCAAAGAGAGAGCUAAGUAUGGCUUUGAUCUGUACAAAGGCACUGAUGAACUCCAGCGACUAACAACUACCUCCUUUGUUGAUGAAUCAAGCGUGAUUGGUCGAGAUGGUGAAAAGAGAAAUGUUGUAAGCAAGUUGCUGGCUGAAAGUAGUCACGAAGCACGGGACGUGGAUGUCAU
Molecule: long non-coding RNA, 1355 nt
Filed under: Populus trichocarpa (black cottonwood)
Lineage: Eukaryota; Viridiplantae; Streptophyta; Magnoliopsida; Malpighiales; Salicaceae
Description: long non-coding RNA (PTRI_LNC002966)
Source: RNAcentral